AGAGUUUGAUCAUGGCUCAGAUUGAACGCUGGCGGCAGGCCUAACACAUGCAAGUCGAGCGGUAGCACAGAGAGCUUGCUCUCGGGUGACGAGCGGCGGACGGGUGAGUAAUGUCUGGGAAACUGCCUGAUGGAGGGGGAUAACUACUGGAAACGGUAGCUAAUACCGCAUAAUGUCGCAAGACCAAAGUGGGGGACCUUCGGGCCUCAUGCCAUCAGAUGUGCCCAGAUGGGAUUAGCUAGUAGGUGGGGUAACGGCUCACCUAGGCGACGAUCCCUAGCUGGUCUGAGAGGAUGACCAGCCACACUGGAACUGAGACACGGUCCAGACUCCUACGGGAGGCAGCAGUGGGGAAUAUUGCACAAUGGGCGCAAGCCUGAUGCAGCCAUGCCGCGUGUGUGAAGAAGGCCUUCGGGUUGUAAAGCACUUUCAGCGGGGAGGAAGGCGAUAAGGUUAAUAACCUUGUCGAUUGACGUUACCCGCAGAAGAAGCACCGGCUAACUCCGUGCCAGCAGCCGCGGUAAUACGGAGGGUGCAAGCGUUAAUCGGAAUUACUGGGCGUAAAGCGCACGCAGGCGGUCUGUCAAGUCGGAUGUGAAAUCCCCGGGCUCAACCUGGGAACUGCAUUCGAAACUGGCAGGCUAGAGUCUUGUAGAGGGGGGUAGAAUUCCAGGUGUAGCGGUGAAAUGCGUAGAGAUCUGGAGGAAUACCGGUGGCGAAGGCGGCCCCCUGGACAAAGACUGACGCUCAGGUGCGAAAGCGUGGGGAGCAAACAGGAUUAGAUACCCUGGUAGUCCACGCCGUAAACGAUGUCGAUUUGGAGGUUGUGCCCUUGAGGCGUGGCUUCCGGAGCUAACGCGUUAAAUCGACCGCCUGGGGAGUACGGCCGCAAGGUUAAAACUCAAAUGAAUUGACGGGGGCCCGCACAAGCGGUGGAGCAUGUGGUUUAAUUCGAUGCAACGCGAAGAACCUUACCUGGUCUUGACAUCCACAGAACUUUCCAGAGAUGGAUUGGUGCCUUCGGGAACUGUGAGACAGGUGCUGCAUGGCUGUCGUCAGCUCGUGUUGUGAAAUGUUGGGUUAAGUCCCGCAACGAGCGCAACCCUUAUCCUUUGUUGCCAGCGGUUAGGCCGGGAACUCAAAGGAGACUGCCAGUGAUAAACUGGAGGAAGGUGGGGAU
RNAcentral lists this ribosomal RNA (1180 nucleotides) under Klebsiella pneumoniae. RNAcentral describes it as "bacterial SSU rRNA". It matches the Rfam family "Bacterial small subunit ribosomal RNA", at positions 8 to 1180 of the family's 1533-position model. Lineage: Bacteria; Pseudomonadati; Pseudomonadota; Gammaproteobacteria; Enterobacterales; Enterobacteriaceae. The record is from RNAcentral.